Molecule: ribosomal RNA, 514 nt
Filed under: uncultured bacterium
Lineage: Bacteria
Description: bacterial SSU rRNA
Rfam family: Bacterial small subunit ribosomal RNA
Source: RNAcentral
ACUACGCUGGCGGCGUGCCUAACACAUGCAAGUCGAACGAUUCUUUGAUUAUAGCAAUAUUAUUAAAGAGGAGUGGCGAACGGGUGAGUAACACGUAGAUAAUCUGCCUUCAGACGGGGACAACUCAGGGAAACUUGUGCUAAUACCCGAUGAGACCACAAGAAGGGAUUUUUUGUGGCCAAAGGCGGGCAGCAAUGCUCGUGCUGAAAGAUGAGUCUGCGUCCUAUCAGCUAGUUGGUGGGGUAAAUGCCUACCAAGGGCUAAGACGGGUAGCCGGCCUGAGAGGGUGAACGGCCACACUGGGACUGAUACACGGCCCAGACUCCUACGGGAGGCAGCAGUGAGGAAUUUUCCGCAAUGGGCGCAAGCCUGACGGAGCGACGCCGCGUGAGGGAUGAACCAGCUUUCGGGUUGUAAACCUCUUUUAUUAAGGAAAAAGAUCUAUAUGCUAAUAUCAUGUAGAUUUGAUGGUACUUAUUGAAUAAGCCCCGGCUAACUACGUGCCAGCAGCCGC